This 497-nucleotide ribosomal RNA is filed under the name uncultured bacterium. Its description in RNAcentral is "partial 16S ribosomal RNA". It matches the Rfam family "Bacterial small subunit ribosomal RNA", at positions 28 to 507 of the family's 1533-position model. The record is from RNAcentral.
GAUGAACGCUGGCGGCGUGCCUAAUACAUGCAAGUCGAGCGAACAGAUUAGGAGCUUGCUCCUCUGACGUUAGCGGCGGACGGGUGAGUAACACGUGGAUAACCUACCUAUAAGACUGGGAUAACUUCGGGAAACCGGAGCUAAUACCGGAUAAUAUAUUGAACCGCAUGGUUCUAUAGUGAAAGACGGUUUUGCUAUCACUUAUAGAUGGAUCCGCGCCGCAUUAGCUAGUUGGUAAGGUAACGGCUUACCAAGGCAACGAUACGUAGCCGACCUGAGAGGGUGAUCGGCCACACUGGAACUGAGACACGGUCCAGACUCCUACGGGAGGCAGCAGUAGGGAAUCUUCCGCAAUGGGCGAAAGCCUGACGGAGCAACGCCGCGUGAGUGAUGAAGGUCUUCGGAUCGUAAAACUCUGUUAUUAGGGAAGAACAAAUGUGUAAGUAACUAUGCACGUCUUGACGGUACCUAAUCAGAAAGCCACGGCUAACUACGUG